UGAUUUACGCUGGCGGCAGUGCCUAACUACAUGCAAGUCGUAGACGAGCGAUGAAUCACAGGAGCUUGCUCCUUUGACGUUAGCGGCGGACGGGUGAGUAACACGUGGAUAACCUACCUAUAAGACUGGGAUAACUUCGGGAAACCGGAGCUAAUACCGGAUAACAUAUUGAACCGCAUGGUUCAAUAGUGAAAGGCGGCUUUGCUGUCACUUAUAGAUGGAUCCGCGCCGUAUUAGCUAGUUGGUAAGGUAACGGCUUACCAAGGCAACGAUACGUAGCCGACCUGAGAGGGUGAUCGGCCACACUGGAACUGAGACACGGUCCAGACUCCUACGGGAGGCAGCAGUAGGGAAUCUUCCGCAAUGGGCGAAAGCCUGACGGAGCAACGCCGCGUGAGUGAUGAAGGUCUUCGGAUCGUAAAACUCUGUUAUCAGGGAAGAACAAAUGUGUAAGUAACUGUGCACAUCUUGACGGUACCUGAUCAGAAAGCCACGGCUAACUACGUGCCAGCAGCCGCGGUAAUACGUAGGUGGCAAGCGUUAUCCGGAAUUAUUGGGCGUAAAGCGCGCGUAGGCGGUUUUUUAAGUCUGAUGUGAAAGCCCACGGCUCAACCGUGGAGGGUCAUUGGAAACCUGGAAAACUUGAGUGCAGAAGAGGAAAGUGGAAAUUCCAUGUGUAGCGGUGAAAUGCGCAGAGAUAUGGAGGAACACCCAGUGGGCCAAGGCGACUUUCUGGUUCUGUAACUUGACGCUGAUGUGCGAAAGCGUUGGGGGAUCAAACAGGAUUAGAUACCCUGGUAGUCCACCGCCGUAAACGAUGAGUGCUUAGUGUUAGGGGGUUUCCGCCCCUUAGUGCU
Molecule: ribosomal RNA, 857 nt
Filed under: Staphylococcus pasteuri
Lineage: Bacteria; Bacillati; Bacillota; Bacilli; Caryophanales; Staphylococcaceae
Description: bacterial SSU rRNA
Rfam family: Bacterial small subunit ribosomal RNA
Source: RNAcentral